CGUGGGUAACCUGCCUUAUAGUGGGGGAUAGCCUUUCGAAAGGAAGAUUAAUACCGCAUAAGAUUGUAGUAUCGCAUGAUAUAGCAAUUAAAGGAGCAAUCCGCUAUAAGAUGGACCCGCGUCGCAUUAGCUAGUUGGUGAGGUAAUGGCUCACCAAGGCGACGAUGCGUAGCCGACCUGAGAGGGUGAUCGGCCACAUUGGGACUGAGACACGGCCCAGACUCCUACGGGAGGGCAGCAUG
RNAcentral lists this ribosomal RNA (242 nucleotides) under uncultured bacterium. RNAcentral's name for it is "partial 16S ribosomal RNA". It matches the Rfam family "Bacterial small subunit ribosomal RNA", at positions 116 to 348 of the family's 1533-position model. The record is from RNAcentral.